CCAACCAAAAUAUUACAAAAAGCCCGCCAUAUCGACACUUCAGUUCAAGGUUGUCUAACAUUGCUUGAGAAAUUAAUCGUUUCAAAACCCCCUCAACAUGUGAGUAGAGGAAAGGAUAAAGUUGUUUCUGUGGGGUUUAUUUCUUAGUGAAUUACGCGAAGAUCAAGUAUGCCUUCUGGAGACUCUAGGAAGGACUUCGUCUUGACUACCGCUGCGAACUAUUUCGGUGUUCCUAUUUCUGAUAGUGCUUUUGCUGAAGUAUCUGAUUCCAGGGAAUUGAAUGCUUUUUUGGAUGAUGGUAAUAGCCCUAUUCUCGCAGCUAGAUUUGAUACACAUCAGGGGAACAAGACAGUUGAACUAUUUGAUCACGUUGAACCAAGCGAUUCCGCUGAAAAAGUGAUCGUCUUUUUCAAACUCCAACCCGAGGUCAUAACUCCGGAUAAUCUUCACCAAAAUGUUUUCGUUUCCUCGAUGCUGGACUCCCCGAUAAAUACGCUUUAUCAUUCAGUGCAGAAGAUUUUUGCUCCUUUGCUUUUAAAGGAUGAAAAAUGGAGUCGUAAUUUUGACCCGAAACUGCAAAGUUUGCUUAGUGAACUCGAAGCCGGUUUGGGAAGUGUAGUGAGGAAGCAAAAUACGUCUUUAGCUCGCGCCGUUCAACCAGGGGACGAAUCAAGCUUAGGGGGGAUUCUAACACCUCAAGAUGAGUUCCAAUACUGGGCAGACUCUUCUGUGUCGGGAUAUGAUUUAUCGGAGCGCGAGAGAGCUGGAUUUUUUCAGGAGUGUUUUCAGAAAGGAAAUGUUUCUCAGGACUUUUCCAACUUGGAUGGACUUGAUCUUGACGACACCUUAGAGCUAGUGGAAUCAACUCAAGAUUCUCUGGACGAAGUCUGGAAGCAAGAAGACCACAAGCCUUAUCCUGAGCAUCGCAUGUGCCAUCUUCUUAGUGUGAUUGGUGGAGCCCUUGCACGUUAUGUACAGCGCAAGCUUAGUGCUCUAGACAUCUGGCAAGGACCUUUCCAGAAUGUCAAAGAAGCCAUGCGGAAAGGAGUGUCUGUCUGUGAGAGGUGGGUGUCCACGUGUGAGACACUGACAGCUCAAUACUGGAAGCGCUUUCCUGCACACCCUUGGAAAGGAGAAAAAUUUGUUCCUGAGAAUCUUUCACAGCUUGCUGCAAGGCUAGAGGAGGUGUUGACUUUGAGAACAGUUCAUGAGCAGCUAGUCCGUCUUCUGUCAUCCUCUGAGCGACAACAGCUAAGAACAGCAGAAGCAUUUCAUCCCUUCUCAGGACUGAACCCUCUGCAUCAGAAUCCUUACACUGAGCCUCUCUGGCGUGCAGCUGUUGGUCAAUAUGAAAGGGGAAUGGCUCCUGCUGAGCAGAAAAUUGCAGGGAAAUUGAGGCAGCAAUUUCGAGACCUUUCUGCACAAUCCCAUCAGCUGUUGCGGGAGUUUCAGAGGUACAAAGAACUUGUAAAAAGGCCAAGCAUCAGCAAGGAACUUGCUCCAGAGAGAGAAACUCUGCUUGGUCAGCUGACGGUGUACGUGAAAAGCAUAAGGGAUGAUUUCCUUGCCAAGACACAGAGCUCGUACUCUGGUGAUAAGGAUGGUGGUCCCCCUAAAGGCAAGAACAUGCCAGAGAUUGUCAAUAAUAUUGUUUGGGUCAGGCAGCUUGACUCCAAGGUGAAGGAAGUGCUUGUCACUGCAGAGAGUCUGCUAGGUGACUUGGCUGGCUUCCGUGGAUUUCGAAGAGAGGCAUCAGACCUGGCAGAAGAACUGUCAAGCUACUGCACUGACCAGUUCGAAAGCUGGUCUUCAGAAAUGCUUUCUGCUAUUGAGGACCCCAAACAUCCACUUGGAUUACAGACAAGUGGUCGUCUGAUGGAGCUGGGGCACCAGGACGGUAAGCUGCGAGUGCACUAUGGAGACCGCCUGGUCACAUUAAUGAGGGAAGUCCGUCAUCUUGCUGCACUCGGGUUUGUUGUCCCUGCUAAGAUCCAGCACACUUCCCAGACAGCCAGCAAGUUCUACCGACAUGGAAUGGUGCUAAAACAGGUGGCGCAUUUCUACAACACGAUCGACCAGCAGAUGAUUCCAAGCCAGCAGUCCAUGAUGCUUGACUCCGCCCUGGCAUUUGAACGCCUUGUCAAGAACCCCAAGCAAGGCUCCAAUGAUGCUUCUGGUCACCGAACACAAGUCACGUGGGACAAGCCCUCCGAGCUUGAGGCCUACAUCAACAAGCUACAAGCAGCCGCUGAGAGAUUGACGUCAGAGAAUCGUAGGCUCAGGAAAUGUCACUACAACAUUUCGGAUAAGGUGGUGAACUUGAUGAGCAUCGACCUCCUCCGCCAACAGCCUCGAUGGAAAGAGGCCCUGGUUGAUCUGAGAGAGAUCAUGACCUCUCUGGUCCAGCACGGGUUUAAGGCGGAGAACAUGCGCACAUGGAAGAUGCACUGGGAUCGUCAGCUAUACAAGGCGCUGGAACACCAGUACCAACUAGGCCUUGAGGGGUUGAACGAGAAUCUACCUGAGAUUAAGGUGGAGCUCACCUUCAGGCAGCAGCGUCUGCAGUUUCGACCUCCGCUCGAGGAGAUCCGUGCCAAAUACUUCCGCGAGAUGCGAAAAUUCAUCUCCAUCCCUAACCACUUCCGAGGCGUGGGAGAAGACAACUCGUUCUACCAGCUGAUGGUGGAUCACAAUGCGCCUGGCUUCUCGACGGUUUACAGCAAAGCAGAGGAUCUGUUCCGUCGGCUUGUGGCCGUGCAGGAGAUGUUCAAGGACUGGGUGGUACUGGGGAGCAUCGACCUGGACGCACUGGUAGACAAGCAUUUACAUGAUGUCGCCGAUUGGGAGAGGAACUUCAGGGCCCUCAAGGCCAGGGGAAGGGACGCAGAGAAACUACCCUUGUCAGUCAAAGUUGAUUGCAUCACUGUGUCCACGGUUCCCGUCAAGUCCACCAUUGAUGAUCACAUCCAGCAGCUGUUUGAUGCAUUGAUGAGUUCUCUGCGCCGGUCCAUCACGCAGGAGGUACAGACUAUCGACACUUUCCUGACCUCGGGCAUGGAGGCCCUAUCCACACGACCACAGACGGUGGAGGAGAUAGGUGAAGCGAACCUCAAGCACACGGAGCUUACCUCACAAAAACCACAGAUCCAGCCUUUGUUCGAGAAAGCCGAGUCCAAGAACAAGCUGCUACGUAACGUGGCAGGGGGAGGGGUGGAGCAGAUCGGACAACUGCAGGCGAGAUGGGAUAAGUUCGAGUUGAUGCUGGAAAGCCAUGAACUUAUGGUCAAAGAGCAGGUCGAGGUCAUGAAGAGUAACGUGGAGUCACGCGUGCAGGCCUUCCAGCAGGAGCUGGACAAGUUUGCGGCACGCUGGCAUCAGCUCAAACCCAAGGACAUAGACGUCGACACGGACCGUCAAGCGUGUAUUGCCGCCGUCACGUCCGUCAAAGAGAGAAAGGCAGAGUUUGUAGAGCUGGAGGAAACCAUGAAGAAGCUCAUAUUUGAGUGUAGUCAUUUUGGAGUGACAGAGCCGCAUUUUCCCGUGGCUGAUGAUCUGCGGCAGGAUAUCUCUACCACUGAGGACAUGUGGCGACUGUUCGAGGAGUUCAACACGGGUCUAGAGGAGCUCGCCAAGGAAGACUGGAUAUCCUUCAGAUCUCGCACAUUCCUGUUUGAUGAUUUCCUGACUGGCUGGGGCGAGAAUCUGCGGACCAAGGAGCCCACUGUGAUGACUGUACGCCUGCAGAAAGAUGUCGAGAAGUACAAGAAUGUGGUUCCGCUGCUGAAAUACGUGCGAGGUGAAGCCCUGUCCCAGGACCACUGGCUGGAGCUGUUCAGGCUGCUCAAGAUGCCAAAGGGCACAACCCUUGAGAAGCUCACAUUUGGAUCGGUUCUGGAAUCAGCGGACCAGAUCGUCACACAUGCCGACGUUCUUAAGGAACUGAAUAGUCGUGCCCAGGGCGAAGUAUCCAUCCGUGAGGCGCUGCGCGAGCUCGAGCUGUGGGGGGCUGGGGCCGUGUUUUCUCUGACGUCAUACAGUGACUCGCAUGAGAAAGAGUUGUCAAUCAUCAAGGACUGGAAAGAGCUUGUCAAUCAAGUUGGCGAUAAUCAGUGCCUGUUGCAGUCACUUAAAGACUCCCCAUACUACAAGGGCUUCGAAGACAAGGCGUCUAUUUGGGAGGGCCGACUUGCCGACCUGGACGAAUACCUUCACAACCUCAACCAAAUCCAGCGCAAGUGGGUCUACCUUGAACCCAUCUUUGGCCGAGGCGCGUUGCCUAGGGAACAAGGACGCUUCAAGAGGGUCGAUGACGACUUCCGUUCUAUUAUGAUGGACGUCUCUAAGGAUAACCGCGUGCUGUCAUUGGUUGGCCGACCUGGUAUUAGGAACACGCUGGUCACAUUGCUCGACCAACUGCAGCGCUGUCAGAAAUCUCUCAAUGAAUUCCUAGAGGAAAAGCGGUCUCUUUUCCCUCGAUUUUACUUCAUCGGUGAUGACGACCUGUUAGAAAUUCUCGGCCAAGCGACGAACCCAACAGUGAUCCAGUCGCAUUUGAAAAAGCUGUUUGCAGGGAUUCACCAUGUGGGCUUUGACGAGGGGAACAAGACGAUAAUCGCCAUAAAGUCCAUCGAGGGUGAGGUCGUGCCUCUCAAACGACCUGUCAAUAUCACCCCGGAGGUCGAGGCAUGGCUGGGUCAUCUCGCCGUCGAGAUGAAGGACACUUUGAGGGAACUCCUUACUCAAUGUCUGGACAUAAGUAGAAAGGGAGGCGGAAGUGGCGUCGACCCAUCCAAAUUUCCCUCACAGAUUUUGAACCUGGCGGAGCAAGUCCAGUUCACGGAGCGAUGUGAGGUGGCCAUUAAAAGCGGGAGCCUCCAGGAGUUCCUGAUCGAGAUGGAAUCCCAGUUGGAGUCGUACACGAGUGCAGACGUGCAGGGGUCCGGGGAGCCUGGGGAUAGUCACGUGUUGGAACUCAAGCUCAAGGCGCUCAUCCUAGACACCAUUCACUCCAUCGAGGUGGUCCAGAACUUGAUCAAGGCGGGGGUCAAGUCUUUGGAUGAGUGGAUGUGGCAGAAGCAGUUACGAUUCUACAUGCACAAAGGCGAAUGCAUGAUUCGCAUGUGUGACGCCGAGUUCCAUUACACAUACGAGUAUCAAGGAAACGCACCUAAGCUGGUCCACACCCCCCUGACGGACAAGUGCUACCUGACGCUCACACAAGGAAUGCACAUGGGUCUGGGGGGGAACCCUUACGGACCUGCUGGUACCGGCAAGACCGAGUCUGUGAAAGCUCUUGGGGGAUUGUUUGGGCGCCAAGUGCUUGUCUUCAACUGUGACGAGGGCAUCGAUGUGAAAUCCAUGGGUCGCAUCUUUAUCGGACUGGUGAAGUGUGGGGCAUGGGGUUGUUUUGACGAGUUCAACCGUUUGGAAGAGGCCGUCCUGUCUGCGGUAUCUAUGCAAAUCCAAACCAUUCAAGCUGCUCUCAAAUCCAAGAUGGCAUCUACGGAGCUCCUGGGUAGACAAAUCGACAUCGACUUCAAUUCGGGAAUCUUCAUCACUCUCAAUCCUGCUGGAAAGGGCUACGGUGGCAGGCAGAAGCUUCCGGACAACUUGAAGCAGUUGUUCCGCCCGGUUGCCAUGUCCCGGCCGGACAAUGAGCUAAUCGCGGAGACGAUCAUGUUCUCCGAAGGAUUCAAAGAGGCUAAGAGUCUAGGGAGAAAGCUGGUCGCCAUCUUCAACUUAUCCAAGGAGCUGUUGUCAAAACAGCAACACUACGACUGGGGUCUGCGUGCACUCAAGACGAUACUGAAGGGAUGCGGUAAUUUGUUACAAUCACAUAAGCAAUCUGGUGAAAAGGUUAACCCAAGUAUCGAGGCGCGCGUUGUGGUGCAGGCUCUCCGUGUAAACACACUGUCGAAGCUGACGUUUGCAGACUCGCGCCGUUUUGAUGCGCUGGUACAGGAUGUAUUCCCUGGUGUGGACGUAAAGGGAGUCGAGUACAUGGAGCUAGCAGAAGCACUCAGAGCUGCUGCCAAGGAAUGUAAUCUUGUCGUUAUGGAAACGCAGGUUAAGAAGGCUUUAGAGUUGUACGAGCAGCUCCGACAGCGCAUGGGUGUGGUCGUUAUCGGCCCGUCUGGGUCCGGUAAGAGCACCAUCUGGCGACUCCUACGCCUGGCUCUUGGCAAGAUUGGCCAGACCGUCAAGCAGUACACCAUGAACCCAAAGGCUAUGCCAAGGACGCAGUUGCUUGGUCAGAUUGACAUGGACACUCGGGAAUGGUCCGACGGAGUUCUCACGAAUGCCGCACGACAGGUCGUCCGUGAACCAAUCGAUAUCCAGUCGUGGAUCAUCUGUGAUGGCGAUAUUGACCCUGAGUGGAUUGAGUCGCUUAAUUCGGUUCUUGACGACAACAGACUAUUGACCAUGCCCUCAGGGGAGAGGAUCCAGUUUGGCCCGAACGUCAACUUCCUGUUCGAGUCACAUGAUCUCAGCUGUGCCUCACCCGCUACGAUAUCCCGUAUGGGUAUGAUUUUCCUAAGCGACGAAGACACUGACGUCAAAGCGCUUGUCAAGUCCUGGCUCGCAAAUCGACCGGAAGACGAGAGGCGAUUGCUGGAGACUUGGCUGGAAGACUAUUUCUAUAAGGCACUGGAAUGGGUUUUAAAGCAGGGAGAUCUUGUGGUGGAGACAACACUGGUUGGCAUGGUGAUGAAUGGUCUGUCACACAUGUUUGAGGUGCGGGCCAAGCAACAGUUUGUGUGCAGCCUCAUCAGGGGCCUGGGAGCGAACUUGUCCGUCACCACACAGACAGCCUUCGCUAAAGAGGUAUUCCACUGGACCCAUGAGAUGCCUCCAGAUCCCAAACGACCGUUGGAUACAUUUUACGACUCUGACCGGGGACGCCUGGCAUCUUUUGAGCUCGAGGUCCCUGACUCCCUGAGCGUGGAUGAUCUGAUCUCUACCACGAACGGUCAGCCUGUUAUUAAGACGUCUGAUGUCAAGCGAGGGCUGGAUAUGUUCUCCCCUUGGCUUCACACCGAUUACCGCGAGCCAUUUUUGUUGGUGGGGCCUGAAGGCUGCGGCAAAGAAAUGCUGUUACGUCAUUGCUUUGAGCAGCUGCGCUCGACCCAGGUCGCUAUUGUCCACUGUAGCGCCCAGUCUUCGCCCGCGCAUGUGCUUCAGAAGCUUCAGCAGAUGUGCAUGGUGAUCAGCACAAACACGGGCCGCGUGUACCGGCCCAAGGACUGCGAGAGGCUCGUGCUGUACCUCAAGGACCUCAACCUGCCUAAACCGGACAAGUGGGGGACCAGUCAGCUUAUCGCAUUCCUACAACAGGUGCUGACGUACAAAGGUUUCUAUGACGAUAACCUUGAGUGGGUCGGGCUCGAGGGUGUUCAGGUGGUAGCGUCCAUGAGUGCGGGAACAGGCAUGGGUAGGCACUCUAUCACCACGCGCUUCACCUCUAUCGUGCGGGUCUGCUCCAUAGGAUAUCCCGAUCACAGCCAGCUUCAAGCCAUCUACAGCGCUUACCUCCAGCCAGUUCUGCACAAAACCUUACGCUCCCACCCCGUGUGGGGAUCAGUGAGGAACAUCCAGACAUUGGCUGGCUCCAUGGUGUUUGUGUACGAUCAAAUUCGCGCCAAAUUCACAGUAGACGACUACUCGCAUUACCUGUUCACACCACGUGACCUCACCAACUGGGUACUGAGCCUGCUGCGCUACGACUUGGACCCGGGCUCUAGUGACAGCUCGGCGAAUCUCUUGCUGGAGGUCUGGGCCUACGAGGCCAGGCGGCUUUUCCGAGAUAGACUCGUGGGCAAGCAAGGGCUUGACAGAUUCGAUAGCAUCUUGGCUUCCCAGCUACGAUCUGAUUGGUCUGUCUCUUUUGAUCGCUUGGAGACCACGUAUUUUGUCACGUGGGGGGCGCAUACCGCCAUGCCGGCUAAUCCUGCCCCAGGGGAGGAGGGGAAAGCGGAUGGGGGCGCUCCUGUGCUUUCAAGUGGAGCUCUUCCGCCUUAUGGUCGAAAGCUGGGCAAACUGGAGACAAGUGACUUCAAGCAGGUCAUCUCUAAAGGACUUAAAACAUACGCGCGCGAGAACCGUGAGCUUGACAUUCUGAUGUUCAAGGAAGUCCUGGACAACAUCGCUCGAGUCGACCGCACUCUUACGGUGCCCGGAGGCUCACUCCUGCUAGCUGGACGUAGUGGUGUGGGCCGUAGAACAGCCGUUACACUCGUCACGCACAUGCACAACAUCGAGCUUGUCACGCCAAAGGUGUCACGCGCAUAUGGGCUCAAGCAGUUCAAAAAUGACCUCAAAACGGUUAUGCAAAAAGCUGGUAUCGACGGCGAGCAAAUGGCGUUCGUGUUAGAAGACCACCAGCUCGUAGACGCCGCCAUCUUAGAGCUUAUCAACAGUCUGUUGAGCGCAGGAGAGAUCCCCGGCCUGUACUCGCCCGAGGAGCUAGAACCCCUUCUCUCCCCGCUGCGGGACCAGGCUUCCCAGGAGGGCUUUCGCGGCACCAUGUUUUCGUACUUUGCGUCGCGCGUGCGCACUAACCUUCACAUCGUGCUGAUUAUGGACUCCUCGUCGCCAAGUUUUAUUGUGAACUGCGAGUCCAACCCGGCGUUUUUCAAGACGUGCGCUGUGCAGUGGAUGGAGCAGUGGAGCAAGGAGAGCAUGAUACAAAUCCCACGCAUGCUGAUGCCCGAUGAGGGCGUGACCGCUGACCAGGCCAAGGGGAAAAAGUCUAGCGGAGAUGAGCUGGUGAAGAGCUUCAUUGCAAUCCACGAGGGAUGUGAUCCCAAGGAUGCCGCUCCACGCCGCUACAUGACCUUCCUGCAGAACUACAAAGCCAUCUACACGGAGAAGAAGGAGGGUCUUGUCAAACGCCAGACCCAUCUACAGGCUGGUAUCUCCAAGCUGACCGAUGCAAAGAACCUCGUGGACAACUUGAAGCAGAAGGCUGGAGAGCAAAGUCGAAAGCUUGCGGAGAAACAAGAGGAGGCGGACACUGCAUUACAGGAGAUUACCACUAGCAUGCAGCGUGCAAGCGAGUCUAAGAGCGAGAUGGAAACGCUGAAACAGAAACAAGGCGAGGAGUCCGUCAAACUUGAGAAGCGAAAGAAGGCUAUAGAGAUCGAGCUGUCGGAGAUCGAGCCCCUGGUCCAGGAGGCAAAGGACGCUGUCGGUAACAUCAAGCCCGAGUCUCUUUCCGAGAUACGCUCACUACGCAUGCCCCCUGAGGUCAUCCGGGAUAUCCUGGAGGCAGUGCUGAGGCUCAUGGGAAUUUUCGAUACGUCAUGGGUUAGCAUGAAAAGUUUCCUGGCCAAGCGUGGUGUAAAGGACGAGAUUUGUUCGUUUGACGCGCGUAAGAUCACGCCAGAUAUCAGAGCCAGCGUGGAGGAGCUGCUCACCAAGAACGCAAACUCUUUCGACCCUAAGCUUGCAAAGCGUGCGAGUGUAGCGGCCGCCCCUCUGGCCGCGUGGGUGAGGGCAAACGUCAAGUUCUCAGUCGUCCUGGAAAAAAUCGAGCCGCUCGAGAACGAACAGGCACAGCUACAAAGAAACCUGGACAAAUCUCAGCAGCGCCUGGAAAAGCUUGGUCGCGCCUUGGACAAGGUGGAUCACGAGGUUGCAGAGAUGCGAAACAGGUUCGAGCUGCGCACAAAGGAAGCCACGCAGCUCAAAAUGGAGCUGGACAAAGCUCAAGAAACGAUCGCUGCCGCCGAGACCCUAGUUAGUAAACUAGACGGCGAAUUCAACCGAUGGACUGGCCAGGUGCAUGAGAUGACCGCGGCAUUGGAGCAACUCCCUCGUCGUGCGCAACUCGCUGCAGGGUUCGUCACGUACCUGAGUAGUGCUCCCGAGGAUGUGCGCCGUGACACGAUGAAGAGAUGGUGUGACAGUAUGGCACUCGAGGGCUUUGAGUUGAGGCGCUUCCUGAGCACUGAGAGCGAGCAGCUCGUGUGGAAAUCCGAGGGCUUGCCCAGUGAUGACCUAUCCAUGGAGAACGCUCUUGUCAUUAUGAAGAGUGCAGUCCGACCGUUCCUGGUGGACCCAUCGUCACGUGCGACCGAGUGGCUCAAGACGAACCUCAAGGAUCAGCGUCUUGAGGUUAUCAACCAACAGGACUCUAACUUCUCCACUGGUCUUGAGCUGGCAGUGCGGUUUGGCAAGACUCUGCUUAUUCAGGAAAUGGAUGGGAUAGAUCCAGUGUUGUACCCAAUCCUCCGCGGUGACCUCAUCAGUCAAGGACCUCGCUUUGUGGUGCAGAUUGGAGAAAAAGUGAUUGACUACAACGAGGAUUUCAAACUAUUUAUGGCCACGAGGAAUCCAAACCCAGAUCUUCCACCAGAUGCAUUCGCCAUAAUAUCCGAAGUGAACUUCACUACAACUCGUGCUGGUCUUACGGGCCAGCUUUUAGGCAUCACGAUCCAGCAUGAAAAGCCUCAGCUUGAGGUCAAGAAGACGGAGCUGCUGCGGAAAGAGGAAGAGCUAAAAGUCCAGCUCGCGGAGAUGGAAGACUCUUUGCUAGAGACUCUGGCUAGCGCCGAAGGUAACAUCCUCGAGAACAAAGAUCUGCUUGACUCGCUAAACAAGACCAAGGCGAGUAGCUUGACUAUCGCCGAGUCCCUUCAGGACGCUCAUCGUGUACAGACAACACUAGACCAGGAAAGAGACGCGUACCUACCACUCGCGCAGAGCGGAAGUACCAUGUUCUUCGUGAUAAGCGAUCUCGCUAAACUCAACAACAUGUACCGCUUUAGUCUGAGCUCCUUCCUCCGGCUCUUCCAGCGGUCCCUCGAGACCAAUCAGGACUCCAGUUCGACGGAGCUUCGUAUAAAAGCCCUUAAAAACUCAUUGCAGCUACUCGUCCACGAGUACGUGUGCCGGUCACUCUUCAAGGCGGACCGACUGAUGUUCGCGCUUCACCUGGUUCAUGGAACUCACCCGGAGCUUUUCCAAGAAAAGGAAUGGGAGUUCUUCUGCGGCCUUGUCGUCACAGAUAUGUUCAAGAGACAGGAGUCCAUGAAGAACCUGCGUGAGAGUCUACCCUCUUGGAUGGAGUCCGACCGCGCUGGACCCGCAGGGUCGCUCAAGAACACCUUCACUACACUAUAUAAGACCCUGGAUCUUGAGAGCUCAGACACCUGGGGAUCCUUCGCGCGCAGCUCGCAGUGUGAACAGGAAUUCCCAUCACAGAUCACCAAGAAGAUUAGUCUUUUCCAACAAGUCCUGGUGGUGCAAGCGUUCCGCCCUGAUCGGCUACAGAGUGCCAUGAACAUGUUUGCAUCUAAAGCACUGGGAAUGAAAGAGCUUUCUCCGCCGACACUAAACCUGAAGCGCCUGGUAAAAGAGACUGUCCCUGGAGAACCCAUACUGAUCGUCAUAUCUCCUGGAGCAGAUCCUUCACAGGAGUUACAAGAGCUUGCUGGAGAGAUUGUGGGCAUCGACCGUUAUCACCAGGUCGCCAUGGGUCAAGGUCAGGCGGAUAUUGCCAUGCAGCAAUUGCACAAUUGUGCACGUAACGGCGAGUGGCUCUGCCUCAAGAAUCUCCACCUCGUCACUUCGUGGCUCCCCACCCUGGAGAAGGAACUGAACUCGCUAGAGCCCCACGAGAAGUUCCGCUUGUGGCUGACGGCAGAGAGUCAUCCCAAGUUCCCCACCAUUCUUCUUCAGUCCAGUCUCAAGGUCACCUACGAGGCCCCCCCUGGCAUCAAGAAGAACAUGCUGCGCACGUAUGACUCGUGGAGUCCAGAAUUCGUGCAGCGCGGGAACAACUCUACUCGGGCCCAGGCCCUGUUUGUGCUCUCCUGGUUCCACGCCAUCAUGCAGGAGAGAAGAAAUUACAUACCACAGGGAUGGACGAAGUUCUACGAAUUUUCGUUUGGGGAUCUGCGUGCAGGAGCAGAGAUCAUUGACCGACUGUGCUCUGAUUCAGGUUCUGGCUCGGUCCGGUGGCAGUUCGUGCAUGGUCUGUUCGCCAAUGCGAUCUACGGUGGUCGUAUCGACAACACGUUUGACAUGAAGGUCCUAGAGUCCUACUUAUUGCAGUACUUUGAGCAGGCUGUCUUCGCUCAGGGUGGUCGAUCCAGAAACAAGAGAGUCAUACCAAAUGUGACUCUACCGACCUCGUGCCACCACAGGGACUAUUUGGAAAUCAUUAACUCUCUGCCAGAUGUCGACAAACCGUCUUUUUUUGGCCUUCCCGCUAACAUCGAGCGCUCAUCUCAGAGGAUCAUCAGUUCACAGGUGAUUAGCCAGUUGAAGGUAUUGAUGCGUUCAGACGUGGUUGCACACAAGUUUGACAAGGAGAAAUGGUCCACUGAGCUCUCGCCCAUACUCAACUUGUGGAAGAAGCUCAAUCAGGGCUCCCAGCUCAUUCAGAUGAAGGUAUCGCCACCUUCAGAGACUGGGUCGGACUCUCCCGUCACGUCAUUCGUGCUGUUGGAGCGUUACAGUGCGGUCACGCUAGUACAGACAGUGCACGCGUCACUCGCCGCCCUCAGCAAGGUCAUCCGGGGAACACAGCUACUGAGUGCUGAGGUCCAGACUCUGGCGGCCUCUUUACUUCGACAGGAGGUUCCCCAGGAGUGGACGUCUAUCUGGGAGGGGCCUAUGGACCCCGUCCACUGGCUGAGGGCGCUCGUGUCCAAGACGCUUGCCCUUGGCUCGUGGGUGGAGAGGUCAGAGGCCCGCACUCUGCUAAAGGACACGCUGGAUCUGUCCGAGCUCUUUCACCCGGGAACCUUCCUCAACGCCCUUCGUCAACAGACCGCAAGGGCGCUAAAGACGGCAAUGGAUAAUCUGAAACCUGCCGUAGCAUGGAAAGGCGGAGUCCCGGGCGCUAAAUACCCUGUCAAGCUUGGUGGACUGCAAAUAGAGGGCUGCACGUUUGACGGUAAUGCGCUCACUGAGAACCAGAAUGACUCUCCUAGCGUGUCUGCCGUGCCCACUGCUACAAUGGCAUGGGUGCCUAAGGACUCGCCAGAUCCCUAUCCCGAGAGUGAGUGCAUCUCUGUACCCAUCUACUACAACUCGGACCGUGAUAGCAUAGUCACGUGCUUCAACAUGCCGUGUGGCGGGAACCAAAACUACUGGCUGCAGUGUGGUGCAGCACUUUUUCUUAAGAGCCAGUGAACACAAAGGGCACAGGUGUACAGGUUACACAUCAAGGACAAGAGUACACCAAAUAUAUGUUGUGGUUGGAAAUUCAUUUUGGUUGGAAUUUUUACCAACCAGUUGGAAAUUUUUCAACUAGUUAGAAAUUUUACAACCAGUUGGAAAUUCUCCAACCAGUGCAAAAUCUGGAAGACCUCAAAUGUACCAGGCAUUCUUUUUUGAUAAGUACGUUGGGGUUAGGGUUAGGGAAUGGUUGGGUAAGACUUUGUUAAAAUAAACUUCAAGUAUCUUUUGGUUAGGGUUAGGGUAUGGUUGGGUAAGACUUUGUUAAAAUAAACUUUACGUAACAAAACUGUGUAGAAGAUAUUUUUAUUUAAUUAAUUGAUUUGGGCGCAUUUCAAUGCGUCAUUGAUGUUGGCCUUGCAAGCAACCUCCUUCCUGUCACUUGACCAUACCUUCCCGUUGGCAUAGGACCAUUUCUUCCGUUUUAUAGUAUUUUCGUCGGCAGACGACAUAACUAUUGGAUCAUCACUGAUGCGCUACUUUUUUUGCUUUAAAAAUUGUUUUGCUUUUUCAUACAAACCAUCUUCAAUGUAAAAAUUGAUUUCUGAUUUUUUACUUUUGGUUUGGAGCUUCAAUUCCGUAAUCUUUUCUAGGAAUAAAGAGCGGUCAACACACGGCACAACUUCCUCCGCCAUGAUGAUGUUUCGUUCAAACAUCAUCAUAUUUUCCGAGUAAUGACCUUUAGCACAAUCGAAAUGUCUAAUUAAUUAAAAACAUUUUCUAUAGGUUCUUGUUCCAGCGGUACAUUUCAUAAACAUCGGCUUCUUCAGAAGAGAGAAUGUUACACAAAAUCGAGUAAUUACGAUGCCACGAAGAGGACAAAAAAUAAUUAUUCAAGAGAAAUAAAAGAACACUAUUAUUGCUCUAAUUAUUGUGCAGUCUUACAUGUCAGUCAUUCAAUACCCGCUUUCGCACCUAUCUUGAGUUACGUUCGACAAAAGUGCGUAAUUUUAGACUCCUCCGAAGCCGCCAGGUCCGAGUCACGCAGAGCUUUUACGUACGCAAUUUUAGAAUACGAAACAUCUAUUUAAGCCCUAUACAGGUUCUGGCAUGUUUUCAAACGUUGUAAAUUCAUUGUAAUGGCAGCACAGUUAGUCUUUUGUGGUAUUUUUUGCUUUUUAUCCACAAAAGUUUGCACUACGCUCGUGAAAAGAUUUGGUCUCUGUUUCACGUUAAUACGCAUGCGUGCAUUUAUAACAAGCGUGACGUAAGGCGCGUCAUGAAUAUUACAAUAAAGCAAGAUUUAAUCGCUCAUCUUUCGUCACAAGCCUUAGUGGUCAAGUGGUAAGGGCUACUGACUUCGGAGCGAAAGGUUGAGGGUUCGAAUCACGGUAAGGGAAGUUUACAUGGAACACAUCAAGAGCAAGGUUACAUGGAACACAUCAAGGGUACGUGUGACACCUCAUGAGCAAGGUUACAUGGAACACAUCAAGGGUACGUGUCACACAUCAAGAGCAAGGUUACAUGGAACACAUCAAGAGCAAGUGAACAAGAAAUUUCUAGAGUUAGUAAACACUGACCGCCUCAAGGGCCAAGCACUCUUCACAAGCCAUUAAACACAAAACAUUUAAAGAGGCAAACACUUACUCAAGAACCAGUUAACACGGACACCUAAAACCCAGGCACGUUUCUCAAAAGCCAAAGAACAUGCACACAGUCCAAUAAUUUCUCAACAUGUACACUUCUUAUCAGGCAUCAAUCAGCCCAUUGAGCAUUGUAAACUUCUACUAGAGAUUAAAUGCUUUUGUUGUCUCUGGA
RNA transcript from Nematostella vectensis (starlet sea anemone), 14946 nucleotides. It is a transcript of the gene named cytoplasmic dynein 2 heavy chain 1-like, with no coding region annotated. The transcript has 72 exons. The record is from RefSeq and is a predicted model, not a curated record. Lineage: Eukaryota; Metazoa; Cnidaria; Anthozoa; Actiniaria; Edwardsiidae.